This is a long non-coding RNA of Musa acuminata AAA Group (dessert banana), 1461 nucleotides long. RefSeq lists it as uncharacterized. NCBI's taxonomy places the organism in Eukaryota, Viridiplantae, Streptophyta, Magnoliopsida, Zingiberales, Musaceae. The transcript is spliced from 5 exons. The record is from RefSeq and is a predicted model, not a curated record.
CAUCCCCUGCGGGGAAGUGUUGGAGAUACGGCGCCGGAACUGCGACCCGUCCCAGAGCCAUCACCCCUCACCGCUCUAGGGUUCCGAUCCUCUCCCUUUCUAGGUGUCAGCUAUCAGCUUAAGAAUGCGUUCUACUACACGUGGGAUUGAUCCUUCCCCUCAGCAGUGAGCACCAUGUUUCUUUAAAGUUCCAAAUCAUUAGCUCCUUCAGUGAGUUCAUAUCUACAUGUUAUGGAAACCGGAGAGAGAAAAAGCUGAUAUGAUUUCAUUCACUCACUCGAACUACCAUCUCAAGUGCAAUUUAGUGUGCAGACGCAGACAGCUUUAUAGCAUGACUUACUCUUGAAUGGAAGAUACCACUACCUAAUUACCAUUUCUUUCUCACUGAUUUGAAAUAUCAACUGGUGCAACCACCGCUGUCCCAGUAUAAACACUUAAUCUUGUGCUUGUUCUUAUCAUCAGGAACAUUGACCUUUUUCUUUAUUACUUCUUUUUACGUUCAUCAGUCUGCUAACUAAUGUAGGAGAUGUAGGGUUUCCAAUGGCUUGACAGCCUUGAGCUUCCGAGGAGGCGCUUGCAGCAUUGCAGAUGGUAGUGGCGAGUGCAUGAACUUGCAGUUGGGGCAUGAAGGAGAUGACUCGCAGAGCAUGACGAGGAGAUGACAGUUGAUGCAGACUACCGCGACCAUGCUGCCACAUGAAUUAGAUAUGUGAUAGAUGGGAACAAAUGCAUGCUGGACAAUCACUUCUGAAGCAAGUAUGACAUCAGAGCUGGAAGCUAGCUUGAACCUUACAGAAGAAUGCAGAUACUGCACUCCAACCUGCAGGCACCGGUCUCUUCAAUGCCUUCAGAAACAGCAAUAAACAAGUGUAGUGUUAUUCGUCUUUCUUCCGGGCAAGUAAUGCAGCUUGUUCCUCCAGAUAUAGCUCACAGUUUCUGCCUUUCCCAAUUCCUGGAGGAAGAUGUCAUGAAUCUUUGUCCUUGCAUACUCAUCAUGUUUCUGCUGGUUAUCAAGGCAGGAAAUGACAACUUCUGUUCACCAUGUCAGGUACUGAAUGGAACAAGAGCGAAAAUUGUAAUCAAUUCAACCAGGCAUGACUUGGUCAGUGGCAGAAUGUGGAACAGAUCAUCACCAAACAAGCAGUGCAUUUAAGGCCAACCUACUGCAAUUCUACUUUGUUUCAAGCUCAUCUUCGACAUUCAAUUACAAAACUGCACCAGAAAUCCAUAUUCUCACUCAAUCGGCUCUUUGAUCUUAAAUGCAGUAUCCAUUCAUAUCCCUAUUUUAAUGAGGAUUCACCAUCACCAUCUCAAACUUAAAAGAGUCAAUAAGUUUUCUGCAUCAGAAAUGAAAUGAACUAGGUUGUUGAGUUGCCAUGUAACUGGUGAUUGUGCACUUGCUACAACAGUUUAAGCCGAAAAAUAAGUACUAAAUCAACCAAAGUAAAUGCCCCUUCUUCA